Molecule: non-coding RNA, 139 nt
Organism: Triticum aestivum (bread wheat)
Lineage: Eukaryota; Viridiplantae; Streptophyta; Magnoliopsida; Poales; Poaceae
Source: Rfam
UUAAUACUCCCUUCGUCCAGAAAUACUUGUCAUCAAUUGAAAUGAAUAAAAGAUGUUGUAUCUAGAUGUAUUUUAGUUCUACAUACAUCUCUUUUUGUCUAUUUUGAUGAUAAGUAUUUUCGGACGGAGGGAGUAGUAU